AAACUGCGAAGAGUCGGACAAUGAGCAAGAAGGUCGAGCUCCGAAAGAGGUUGCACUGCCCAAGGAGAGCACUGAUGCCAAGGUUGGGGACAAUAGUGGUGAAGGUGCAGAUUUUGGCAAUCAA
This 124-nucleotide ribosomal RNA is filed under the name Amphidinium massartii. RNAcentral describes it as "partial Eukaryotic large subunit ribosomal RNA". The record is from RNAcentral. Lineage: Eukaryota; Dinophyceae; Amphidiniales; Amphidiniaceae.